Molecule: ribosomal RNA, 500 nt
Filed under: uncultured bacterium
Lineage: Bacteria
Description: partial 16S ribosomal RNA
Rfam family: Bacterial small subunit ribosomal RNA
Source: RNAcentral
AUUGAACGCUGGCGGCAUGCCUUACACAUGCAAGUCGAACGGUAACAGGGAGCUUGCUCCGCUGACGAGUGGCGAACGGGUGAGUAAUGUAUCGGAACGUACCUUUUAGUGGGGGAUAACGUAGCGAAAGUUACGCUAAUACCGCAUAUUCUCUGAGGAGGAAAGCAGGGGACCUUCGGGCCUUGCGCUAAUAGAGCGGCUGAUAUCAGAUUAGCUAGUUGGUGAGGUAAAGGCUCACCAAGGCGACGAUCUGUAGGGGGUAUGAGAGGAUGGUCCGCCACACGGGAACGUGGACACGGUACAGACUCCUACGGGAGGCAGCAGUGGGGAAUUUUGGACAAGGGGGGCAACCCUGACCCAGCCAUGCCGCGUGAGUGAAGAAGGCCUUCGGGUUGUAAGGCUCUUUCGGCCGGGAAAAAAUCGCAGGGGUUAAUACCCUGUGUGGAUGAUGGUACCGGAAUAAGAAGCACCGGCUAACUACGUGCCAGCCGCCGCCGUAA